Molecule: unclassified non-coding RNA, 258 nt
Filed under: Hevea brasiliensis (rubber tree)
Lineage: Eukaryota; Viridiplantae; Streptophyta; Magnoliopsida; Malpighiales; Euphorbiaceae
Source: RNAcentral
AGAGAGAGAGAGAGAGAGAGACGGUUAGCGUCUAGGGAGAGGAUUUAUGUUUGUUUGUUAAAAGGGAUAUGAAGAGGGAAGGAGGGUUCAUGAGUUGGGUCUGCGAACGCGGUUGUCGUUAGGGCCGUUGGAUUGUGGGAAUGAGGUUAGAUCGUAGCCGUUGGUUUUGGUGAAACCGGAGGAUAAUGCAUGUGAUACUACUUUGGUUUUCUCUCCUCUCAUGGAUCCGCCGCCAGCUGCUCAUUCAUUGGUUUUGUG